Molecule: long non-coding RNA, 599 nt
Organism: Onychomys torridus (southern grasshopper mouse)
Lineage: Eukaryota; Metazoa; Chordata; Mammalia; Rodentia; Cricetidae
Exons: 6
Source: RefSeq, a predicted model, not a curated record
GGUUCCUGCUUUGAGAUCCCGCCCUGAAUUCACUGCAUGAUGGACUAUAAGCUAUAAGGGAUGUGAGCCACCAUACCCAGUUUAUGGAGUGCUGGAGAUCAAACCCAGAGCUUUGUAUAUGCUGAGCAAGCGCACUACCAUCUGAGCUACCUUCCCAGCCCCAGGAAUCUGCUCUUCUCACAAGCUAUCAGUCUUACUUGCUUUCUGAUACUGUAAUAACUGAAAACCUCAGGAACUGGUGAUUUUCCCAGAAAUUCUCAGUUAUAUUGAUCAUCAUUUAGAAGAAUAUUUUGCAGCUGUCUGUAUCACCUGCACCAGCCACCAUCAGACCAUCCAUCCCCCUAUAAGGUAGGCUGCACAAUGACACCAGUUGACAGGGCAACAGGAUGGGGGAUUCUCACAAGGCUUCACCCCUCCAAGAAGAUCUGCAGACAAUUCAUGGUUGCUGAGAGGAGGGCAAUCAGUCUUCUCUACGGAUGAGCUCUUGGAAGGCCAGCUUAUUCCAAAAGGCUUGUUGAACCAGUGAGUUCCUUCCAGUCAUGGAGGACUUGAGUGUGAAUAUGAUCACUGAGAAGCUCCCUUGAAGAAGAUCACAGAAC